UACGUAGGGACCGAGCGUUGUCCGGAAUCAUUGGGCGUAAAGAGCGUGUAGGCGGCCACUUAAGUCCUGCGUGAAAUCUUGCGGCUCAACCGCAAGCGGUCGUGGGAAACUGGGUGGCUAGAGUGCGGGAGAGGAGAGUGGAAUUCCUGGUGUAGCGGUGAAAUGCGCAGAUAUCAGGAAGAACACCAAUGGCGAAGGCAGCUCUCUGGGACGGUACUGACACUGAGACGCGAAAGCGUGGGGAGCGAACAGG
Molecule: ribosomal RNA, 253 nt
Filed under: uncultured bacterium
Lineage: Bacteria
Description: partial 16S ribosomal RNA
Rfam family: Bacterial small subunit ribosomal RNA
Source: RNAcentral